Molecule: small nuclear RNA, 19 nt
Filed under: Arabidopsis thaliana (thale cress)
Lineage: Eukaryota; Viridiplantae; Streptophyta; Magnoliopsida; Brassicales; Brassicaceae
Description: snRNA_16317
Source: RNAcentral
CAAUAAGCGGAGGAAAAGA